GGGUUGUGAGGUUAAGCGACUAAGCGUACACGGUGGAUGCCCUGGCAGUCAGAGGCGAUGAAGGGCGUGCUAAUCUGCGAUAAGCGCCGGUAAGGUGAUAUGAACCGUUAUAACCGGCGAUACCCGAAUGGGGAAACCCAGUGUGAUUCGUCACACUAUCAUUAACUGAAUCCAUAGGUUAAUGAGGCGAACCGGGGGAACUGAAACAUCUAAGUACCCCGAGGAAAAGAAAUCAACCGAGAUUCCCCCAGUAGCGGCGAGCGAACGGGGAGGAGCCCAGAGCCUGAAUCAGCAUGUGUGUUAGUGGAAGCGUCUGGAAAGGCGCGCGAUACAGGGUGACAGCCCCGUACACAAAAGCGCAUGUGCUGUGAGCUCGAUGAGUAGGGCGGGACACGUGGUAUCCUGUCUGAAUAUGGGGGGACCAUCCUCCAAGGCUAAAUACUCCUGACUGACCGAUAGUGAACCAGUACCGUGAGGGAAAGGCGAAAAGAACCCCGGCGAGGGGAGUGAAAAAGAACCUGAAACCGUGUACGUACAAGCAGUGGGAGCCCCACCACUAAGCCAGUGGUGAACUCCACAUACGCAUCCUUUGCUGAGGAUACGGUUAACGGAGCGAAAGCGACGUUCAACCGCAAAAGAAGCAGAGGGGGCUUAGUGGUGGGGUGACUGCGUACCUUUUGUAUAAUGGGUCAGCGACUUAUAUUCUGUAGCAAGGUUAACCGAAUAGGGGAGCCGGAGGGAAACCGAGUCUUAAUUGGGCGUUAAGUUGCAGGGUAUAGACCCGAAACCCGGUGAUCUAGCCAUGGGCAGGUUGAAGGUUGGGUAACACUAACUGGAGGACCGAACCGACUAAUGUUGAAAAAUUAGCGGAUGACCUGUGGCUGGGGGUGAAAGGCCAAUCAAACCGGGAGAUAGCUGGUUCUCCCCGAAAGCUAUUUAGGUAGCGCCUCGUGAAUUCAUCUCCGGGGGUAGAGCACUGUUUCGGCUAGGGGGCCAUCCCGGCUUACCAACCCGAUGCAAACUGCGAAUACCGGAGAAUGUUAUCACGGGAGACACACGGCGGGUGCUAACGUCCGUCGUGAAGAGGGAAACAACCCAGACCGCCAGCUAAGGUCCCAAAGUCAUGGUUAAGUGGGAAACGAUGUGGGAAGGCCCAGACAGCCAGGAUGUUGGCUUAGAAGCAGCCAUCAUUUAAAGAAAGCGUAAUAGCUCACUGGUCGAGUCGGCCUGCGCGGAAGAUGUAACGGGGCUAAACCAUGCACCGAAGCUGCGGCAGCGAACGUAUCACUUAAAGCGAUUCAGCGGGUUACGAUUGACGGAGCGAAGCGACGUCAAAGCGUAUACAAAGUCGAGUCGGUUUAAGGAUACGUUCGUUGGGUAGGGGAGCGUUCUGUAAGCCUGUGAAGGUGGCCUGUGAGGGUUGCUGGAGGUAUCAGAAGUGCGAAUGCUGACAUAAGUAACGAUAAAGCGGGUGAAAAGCCCGCUCGCCGGAAGACCAAGGGUUCCUGUCCAACGUUAAUCGGGGCAGGGUGAGUCGACCCCUAAGGCGAGGCCGAAAGGCGUAGUCGAUGGGAAACGGGUUAAUAUUCCCGUACUUGGUGUUACUGCGAAGGGGGGACGGAGAAGGCUAUGUUGGCCGGGCGACGGUUGUCCCGGUUUAAGCGUGUAGGUGUGUGUUCCAGGUAAAUCCGGUUCACUUUAACACUGAGGCGUGAUGACGAGGCACUACGGUGCUGAAGCAACAAAUGCCCUGCUUCCAGGAAAAGCCUCUAAGCAUCAGGUAACAUCAAAUCGUACCCCAAACCGACACAGGUGGUCAGGUAGAGAAUACCAAGGCGCUUGAGAGAACUCGGGUGAAGGAACUAGGCAAAAUGGUGCCGUAACUUCGGGAGAAGGCACGCUGACACGUAGGUGAAGUGAUUUACUCAUGGAGCUGAAGUCAGUCGAAGAUACCAGCUGGCUGCAACUGUUUAUUAAAAACACAGCACUGUGCAAACACGAAAGUGGACGUAUACGGUGUGACGCCUGCCCGGUGCCGGAAGGUUAAUUGAUGGGGUCAGCGCAAGCGAAGCUCCUGAUCGAAGCCCCGGUAAACGGCGGCCGUAACUAUAACGGUCCUAAGGUAGCGAAAUUCCUUGUCGGGUAAGUUCCGACCUGCACGAAUGGCGUAAUGAUGGCCAGGCUGUCUCCACCCGAGACUCAGUGAAAUUGAACUCGCUGUGAAGAUGCAGUGUACCCGCGGCAAGACGGAAAGACCCCGUGAACCUUUACUAUAGCUUGACACUGAACAUUGAGCCUUGAUGUGUAGGAUAGGUGGGAGGCUUUGAAGUGUGGACGCCAGUCUGCAUGGAGCCGACCUUGAAAUACCACCCUUUAAUGUUUGAUGUUCUAACGUGGACCCGUAAUCCGGGUUGCGGACAGUGUCUGGUGGGUAGUUUGACUGGGGCGGUCUCCUCCUAAAGAGUAACGGAGGAGCACGAAGGUUGGCUAAUCCUGGUCGGACAUCAGGAGGUUAGUGCAAUGGCAUAAGCCAGCUUGACUGCGAGCGUGACGGCGCGAGCAGGUGCGAAAGCAGGUCAUAGUGAUCCGGUGGUUCUGAAUGGAAGGGCCAUCGCUCAACGGAUAAAAGGUACUCCGGGGAUAACAGGCUGAUACCGCCCAAGAGUUCAUAUCGACGGCGGUGUUUGGCACCUCGAUGUCGGCUCAUCACAUCCUGGGGCUGAAGUAGGUCCCAAGGGUAUGGCUGUUCGCCAUUUAAAGUGGUACGCGAGCUGGGUUUAGAACGUCGUGAGACAGUUCGGUCCCUAUCUGCCGUGGGCGCUGGAGAACUGAGGGGGGCUGCUCCUAGUACGAGAGGACCGGAGUGGACGCAUCACUGGUGUUCGGGUUGUCAUGCCAAUGGCACUGCCCGGUAGCUAAAUGCGGAAGAGAUAAGUGCUGAAAGCAUCUAAGCACGAAACUUGCCCCGAGAUGAGUUCUCCCUGAGACUUUAGGUCUCCUGAAGGAACGUUGAAGACGACGACGUUGAUAGGCCGGGUGUGUAAGCGCAGCGAUGCGUUGAGCUAACCGGUACUAAUGAACCGUGAGGCUUAACCUUACAACGCCGAAG
RNAcentral lists this ribosomal RNA (3109 nucleotides) under Salmonella enterica. RNAcentral's name for it is "bacterial LSU rRNA". It matches the Rfam family "Bacterial large subunit ribosomal RNA". RNAcentral also lists the same sequence under 1 other name. Lineage: Bacteria; Pseudomonadati; Pseudomonadota; Gammaproteobacteria; Enterobacterales; Enterobacteriaceae. The record is from RNAcentral.